RNAcentral lists this ribosomal RNA (454 nucleotides) under uncultured bacterium. RNAcentral describes it as "bacterial SSU rRNA". It matches the Rfam family "Bacterial small subunit ribosomal RNA", at positions 340 to 786 of the family's 1533-position model. The record is from RNAcentral.
UACGGAAGGCAGCAGUGGGGAAUAUUGCACAAUGGGCGCAAGCCUGAUGCAGCCAUGCCGCGUGUAUGAAGAAGGCCUUCGGGUUGUAAAGUACUUUCAGUCGUGAGGAAGGUGUUAAGGUUAAUAACCUUAGCAAUUGACGUUAGCGACAGAAGAAGCACCGGCUAACUCCGUGCCAGCAGCCGCGGUAAUACGGAGGGUGCGAGCGUUAAUCGGAAUUACUGGGCGUAAAGGGCACGCAGGCGGUUAAUUAAGUUGGAUGUGAAAUCCCCGGGCUUAACCUGGGAAUGGCAUUCAAGACUGGUUAGCUAGAGUCUUGUAGAGGGGGUAGAAUUCCAUGUGUAGCGGUGAAAUGCGUAGAGAUGUGGAGGAAUACCGGUGGCGAAGGCGGCCCCUGGGACAAAGACUGACGCUCAUGUGCGAAAGCGUGGGGAGCAAACAGGGAUUAGAUACC